RNAcentral lists this transfer RNA (76 nucleotides) under Edwardsiella ictaluri. Its description in RNAcentral is "tRNA-Val". It matches the Rfam family "tRNA". From Rfam's summary of the family: Transfer RNA (tRNA) molecules are approximately 80 nucleotides in length. Their secondary structure includes four short double-helical elements and three loops (D, anti-codon, and T loops). Further hydrogen bonds mediate the characteristic L-shaped molecular structure. tRNAs have two regions of fundamental functional importance: the anti-codon, which is responsible for specific mRNA codon recognition, and the 3' end, to which the tRNAs corresponding amino acid is attached (by aminoacyl-tRNA synthetases). tRNAs cope with the degeneracy of the genetic code in two manners: having more than one tRNA (with a specific anti-codon) for a particular amino acid; and 'wobble' base-pairing, i.e. permitting non-standard base-pairing at the 3rd anti-codon position. RNAcentral also lists the same sequence under 4 other names. Lineage: Bacteria; Pseudomonadati; Pseudomonadota; Gammaproteobacteria; Enterobacterales; Hafniaceae. The record is from RNAcentral.
GGGUGAUUAGCUCAGCUGGGAGAGCGUCUCCCUUACAAGGAGAGGGUCGGCGGUUCGAUCCCGUCAUCACCCACCA